Molecule: ribosomal RNA, 492 nt
Filed under: uncultured bacterium
Lineage: Bacteria
Description: partial 16S ribosomal RNA
Rfam family: Bacterial small subunit ribosomal RNA
Source: RNAcentral
AGUGAACGCUGGCGGUAGGCCUAACACAUGCAAGUCGAACGGCCGCACAGUAAGAGCUUGCUCUUACGGGUGGCGAGUGGCGGACGGGUGAGGAAUACAUCGGAAUCUACUUUUUCGUGGGUGAUAACGUAGGGAAACUUACGCUAAUACCGCAUACGACCUACGGGUGAAAGCAGGGGAUCUUCGGACCUUGCGCGAUUGAAUGAGCCGAUGUCGGAUUAGCUAGUUGGCGGGGUAAAGGCCCACCAAGGCGACGAUGCGUAGCUGGUCUGAGAGGAUGAUCAGCCACACUGGAACUGAGACACGGUCCAGACUCCUACGGGAGGCAGCAGUGGGGAAUAUUGGACAAUGGGCGCAAGCCUGAUCCAGCCAUACCGCGUGGGUGAAGAAGGCCUUCGGGUCGUAAAGCCCUUUUGUUGGGAAAGAAAAGCAGCAGGUUAAUACCCCGAUGUUCUGACGGUACCCAAAGAAUAAGCACCGGCUAACUUCGUG